CUGUGUACAGGAACCAUUACUUGCAUUUUUUGCACUCGACAUCUUCGCUUCCUCUUUCUCCAGCGCUCGAGUUUUAUAUAUUUAUCUCGUUUAAAGUGCAAAAAAUGUUGGGGAUUUCAAGCAACGCGAAGAAUCCUGUAGUAUAUUUCCUUUGGUUUCGUCGAUCGCGUGUAGUAACGCGGAGGAAAAAAUGUAAAUUGUUUUGCGAAUUUUAUUCUUUCUCGCGCGGUUACGGUUCGAUCUCCGCGUAGCACAUGCGUAUUUUCUUUCCCUUUCGUGUUUUCUGUGGCAACGGAAUGUCCAUGCUUAUGUAUCCCUGCAGAAAGAAGUGAACGUCGGCAGCCCCUGUGGCCUAAUGGAUAAGGCAUCGGUCUCCUAAACCGGGGAUUGUGGGUUCGAGUCCCACCAGGGCGUAAUGCUUAAUAAAUCGCGCGGAUGGAUCAGUAACACCCUUCACCCAGCGUGGCAUCCAGAAGUAAGGUGUAAAACUUUCCGCCUGCCCCUUGAAAUGCGACUCGAAGACGUUUCUGGGACAAAAGCAAAGCGAAAACGAUGCAUAAUCCAUCUCGGUCGAAUGACGGUUUCAUUAGUGCACCUUGCUCUCCGAAGAGAUGACUAGCUGCCCGUCAUCCGAAUACAAUCUGAACAACGGUCUUACGCCGUACGGAUCUCUGGCUAUCAGAAUCCUUCUCUUCUGGACGUCCAUCAAACAAAAUGCGAACACACCGUCCAAGGACGACGCGACACCGCUGGCGCCGGCGUAGUUGUACAUGUGCAUGAUCACCUCCACGUCGCACUUGUUAUAUAACUCUCCAUUGCACAAGAGGAAUAAAUGCGGAUACUUGAGUAUUCUCAUCGGCUGCAUUCCGUAGAGGCCGUCGACGAUGGCCAGUCUGUGAAAUCCUAGGUAUCCAUUCUGCAAAAGAAAAAAAAAGAAAA
Long non-coding RNA from Monomorium pharaonis (pharaoh ant), 939 nucleotides. RefSeq lists it as uncharacterized. NCBI's taxonomy places the organism in Eukaryota, Metazoa, Arthropoda, Insecta, Hymenoptera, Formicidae. The transcript is spliced from 4 exons. The record is from RefSeq and is a predicted model, not a curated record.